RNAcentral lists this unclassified non-coding RNA (143 nucleotides) under soil metagenome. RNAcentral's name for it is "partial internal transcribed spacer 1". The record is from RNAcentral.
CAGAGUUGCAAAACUCCCUAAACCAUUGUGAACCUACCCCUAAACAGUUGCUUCGGCGGCGCCCGGACAGGCCCGCCGGAGACCACUAAACUCUUGUUUUUUUAACACUGGCCUCUCUGAGUUUACUGUACUGUAAUAAGUCA